GACGAACGCUGGCGGCGUGCUUAACACAUGCAAGUCGAACGGAAAGGCCCUGCUUUUGUGGUGUGCUCGAGUGGCGAACGGGUGUGUAACACGUGAGUAACCUGCCCUUGACUUUGGUAUAACUUCAGGAAACUGGGGCUUAUACCGGAUAGGCGCUCCUGCUGCAUGGUGGGGGUUGGAAAGUUUCGGCGGUUGGGUAUGGACUCGCGGCUUAUCAGCUUGUUGGUGGGGUAGUGGCUUACCAAGGCUUUGACGGGUAGCCGGCAUGAGAGGGUGACCGGCAUCAUGGGGAAGGAGAGACGGCCAAGACUCCGACGGGAAGCAGCAGGGGGGAAUAUUGAACAAUGGGAGGAAGGCUGAUGCAGCAACGCCGGGUGCGGGAUGACGGCCGUCGGGUUGUAAACCGCCUGCGACUGUGAAGAAGCGGGAGUGACGGUAAUGGGUAAAGAAGCACCGGCUAACUACGUG
Molecule: ribosomal RNA, 468 nt
Filed under: uncultured bacterium
Lineage: Bacteria
Description: partial 16S ribosomal RNA
Rfam family: Bacterial small subunit ribosomal RNA
Source: RNAcentral